This 409-nucleotide ribosomal RNA is filed under the name uncultured bacterium. Its description in RNAcentral is "bacterial SSU rRNA". It matches the Rfam family "Archaeal small subunit ribosomal RNA", at positions 723 to 1131 of the family's 1478-position model. The record is from RNAcentral.
ACUGAAUAGAUACCCAGGUAGUCCCAGCCGUAAACGAUGCUCGCUAGGUGUCAGGCAUGGCGCGACCGUGUCUGGUGCCGCAGGGAAGCCGUGAAGCGAGCCACCUGGGAAGUACGGCCGCAAGGCUGAAACUUAAAGGAAUUGGCGGGGGAGCACAACAACGGGUGGAGCCUGCGGUUUAAUUGGACUCAACGCCGGACAACUCACCGGGGGCGACAGCACUAUGUAGGCCAGGCUGAAGACCUUGCCUGAAUCGCUGAGAGGAGGUGCAUGGCCGUCGCCAGUUCGUACUGUGAAGCAUCCUGUUAAGUUCAGGCAACGAGCGAGACCCGUGCCCACUGUUACCAGCAUGUCCUCCGGGACGAUGGGUACUCUGUGGGGACCGCCGGUGUUAAAUCGGAGGAAGGUG